UCGCCUAUGAAGCAAGGGUUCGAAUAAACAUCAAGUGCGACAAGUUUAUAAAGUGUUCACGUAAGACACCAAGUACGUGGAAUCUUCGUGGUGCUGCUAGAAGUGAGUUGAGAUGUUGAACUGUUAUAUUGCUGCACCACCAGGACAGAUGCUGAAGUCGAAAAAUCAUGAGAAGUCAGGAGGCUGCCCACAGGACCCAGUUCAGGGCAUUCAGCCUUUUCAGUCAAAGCUGCAGCUACAGGACCCUCAGGCAUUCGACCUACAACGAACAGAUUGCACCAGCUGAACUCCUUAACUACUUCAACAAUUUCUUUAGCACUAUUCACUUCUCUCUCUUCAAAUUUGACAGAGGAGUCAUCUGGAUUCUUCUUGAAGCUAGCUAGAAAUGUUGUAUCAGUUGAACUUAAUGAAUUACUGGAUUCUGCAGUUAUAUCAAUUUUGACCAUCCGCCGCAUAAUAUCAUUGCUUGCUACGAAGUGAAUGAUAAUUAAACUGAUUCCAGGGUGCUCAG
RNAcentral lists this unclassified non-coding RNA (511 nucleotides) under Hevea brasiliensis (rubber tree). Lineage: Eukaryota; Viridiplantae; Streptophyta; Magnoliopsida; Malpighiales; Euphorbiaceae. The record is from RNAcentral.